Molecule: ribosomal RNA, 422 nt
Filed under: bacterium enrichment culture clone ALO1_GLFRUDD03FTB23
Lineage: Bacteria
Description: bacterial SSU rRNA
Rfam family: Bacterial small subunit ribosomal RNA
Source: RNAcentral
GAGUUUGAUCGUGGCUCAGAUUGAACGCUGGCGGCAUGCCUUACACAUGCAAGUCGAACGGCAGCACGGGAGCUUGCUCCUGGUGGCGAGUGGCGAACGGGUGAGUAAUGCAUCGGAACGUAUCCUGGAGUGGGGGAUAACGUAGCGAAAGUUACGCUAAUACCGCAUAUUCUGUGAGCAGGAAAGCGGGGGACCUUCGGGCCUCGCGCUCUUGGAGCGGCCGAUGUCGGAUUAGCUAGUUGGUGAGGUAAAGGCUCACCAAGGCGACGAUCCGUAGCAGGUCUGAGAGGAUGAUCUGCCACACUGGAACUGAGACACGGUCCAGACUCCUACGGGAGGCAGCAGUGGGGAAUUUUGGGACAAUGGGGGCAACCCUGAUCCAGCCAUGCCGCGUGAGUGAAGAAGGCCUCGGUUGUAAGUAC